AAGUCGUAACAAGGUAACCGUAGGUGAACCUGCGGUUGGAUCAUUAAAAAACAGAGUCGGGGAGACUCGAGCUGAAUUUAUUCAGUCAACCACUGUGAACUGUAAAUGAAGUGUUGUGGGUGUAAGUUUUUAUGCCCACCAACGUUAAAAAAACCUUUAAACUUGACUGAAUCAGAGACAAUGAGAUACAACUUUUGACAACGGAUCUCUUGGCUCUC
This 218-nucleotide unclassified non-coding RNA is filed under the name fungal sp. RNAcentral's name for it is "partial internal transcribed spacer region". The stretch from base 1 to 46 matches the Rfam family "Eukaryotic small subunit ribosomal RNA", at positions 1786 to 1831 of the family's 1831-position model. Lineage: Eukaryota; Fungi. The record is from RNAcentral.